GGGCGUUAAGUUGCAGGGUAUAGACCCGAAACCCGGUGAUCUAGCCAUGGGCAGGUUGAAGGUUGGGUAACACUAACUGGAGGACCGAACCGACUAAUGUUGAAAAAUUAGCGGAUGACCUGUGGCUGGGGGUGAAAGGCCAAUCAAACCGGGAGAUAGCUGGUUCUCCCCGAAAGCUAUUUAGGUAGCGCCUCGUGAAUUCAUCUCCGGGGGUAGAGCACUGUUUCGGCUAGGGGGCCAUCCCGGCUUACCAACCCGAUGCAAACUGCGAAUACCGGAGAAUGUUAUCACGGGAGACACACGGCGGGUGCUAACGUCCGUCGUGAAGAGGGAAACAACCCAGACCGCCAGCUAAGGUCCCA
Molecule: ribosomal RNA, 362 nt
Filed under: Salmonella enterica subsp. enterica serovar Kentucky
Lineage: Bacteria; Pseudomonadati; Pseudomonadota; Gammaproteobacteria; Enterobacterales; Enterobacteriaceae
Description: partial 23S ribosomal RNA
Rfam family: Bacterial large subunit ribosomal RNA
Source: RNAcentral